This 1650-nucleotide ribosomal RNA is filed under the name Acetivibrio clariflavus DSM 19732. Its description in RNAcentral is "[Clostridium] clariflavum DSM 19732 16S ribosomal RNA". It matches the Rfam family "Bacterial small subunit ribosomal RNA". Lineage: Bacteria; Bacillati; Bacillota; Clostridia; Acetivibrionales; Acetivibrionaceae. The record is from RNAcentral.
UUUUUUUAGAGAGUUUGAUCCUGGCUCAGGACGAACGCUGGCGGCGUGCCUAACACAUGCAAGUCGAGCGGUCCUGCAUUCAACAUUGAGUAUUCAGCUGACGUUGGAGAUUGAGCCGGCGUCAAGCAGAAACAACCAUAUACUAUGAUAUGUUUAAAGUUUCUGCUUCACGCUGAAUAAAGUGCCAACACAAAAAGGAGCUGAGUAUUGAAUGUUGAAUGCAGGAUAGCGGCGGACGGGUGAGUAACGCGUGGGUAAUCUGCCUCACACAGGGGGAUAACACUGGGAAACUAGUGCUAAUACCGCAUAACAUAACGAGGUGGCAUCACUUUGUUAUCAAAGGAGCAAUCCGGUGUGAGAUGAGCCCGCGUCCGAUUAGCUAGUUGGUGAGGUAACGGCUCACCAAGGCGACGAUCGGUAGCCGAACUGAGAGGUUGAUCGGCCACAUUGGGACUGAGACACGGCCCAGACUCCUACGGGAGGCAGCAGUGGGGAAUAUUGCGCAAUGGGGGAAACCCUGACGCAGCAACGCCGCGUGAAGGAAGAAGGUCUUCGGAUUGUAAACUUCUUUGGUUGGGGACGAUAAUGACGGUACCCAAGGAACAAGCCACGGCUAACUACGUGCCAGCAGCCGCGGUAAUACGUAGGUGGCGAGCGUUGUCCGGAAUUACUGGGUGUAAAGGGCGCGUAGGCGGGGAUGCAAGUCAGAUGUGAAAUUCCGGGGCUCAACCCCGGCGCUGCAUCUGAAACUGUAUUUCUUGAGUGCUGGAGAGGAAAGCGGAAUUCCUAGUGUAGCGGUGAAAUGCGUAGAGAUUAGGAGGAACACCAGUGGCGAAGGCGGCUUUCUGGACAGUAACUGACGCUGAGGCGCGAAAGCGUGGGGAGCAAACAGGAUUAGAUACCCUGGUAGUCCACGCCGUAAACGAUGGAUACUAGGUGUAGGAGGUAUCGACCCCUUCUGUGCCGGAGUUAACACAAUAAGUAUCCCACCUGGGGAGUACGGCCGCAAGGUUGAAACUCAAAGGAAUUGACGGGGGCCCGCACAAGCAGUGGAGUAUGUGGUUUAAUUCGAAGCAACGCGAAGAACCUUACCAGGGCUUGACAUCCCUCUGACAGCUCUAGAGAUAGGGCUUCUCUUCGGAGCAGAGGAGACAGGUGGUGCAUGGUUGUCGUCAGCUCGUGUCGUGAGAUGUUGGGUUAAGUCCCGCAACGAGCGCAACCCUUGUUGUUAGUUGCCAUCAUUAAGUUGGGCACUCUAACGAGACUGCCGGUGAUAAAUCGGAGGAAGGUGGGGACGACGUCAAAUCAUCAUGCCCCUUAUGUCCUGGGCUACACACGUACUACAAUGGCUGCUACAAAGGGAAGCGAGACCGCGAGGUGGAGCAAAUCCCCAAAAGCAGUCCCAGUUCAGAUUGCAGGCUGAAACUCGCCUGCAUGAAGUCGGAAUUGCUAGUAAUGGCAGGUCAGCAUACUGCCGUGAAUACGUUCCCGGGCCUUGUACACACCGCCCGUCACACCAUGAGAGUCUGCAACACCCGAAGUCAGUAGUCUAACCGAGAGGAGGGCGCUGCCGAAGGUGGGGCAGAUGAUUGGGGUGAAGUCGUAACAAGGUAGCCGUAUCGGAAGGUGCGGCUGGAUCACCUCCUUUCU